This 253-nucleotide ribosomal RNA is filed under the name uncultured bacterium. RNAcentral describes it as "partial 16S ribosomal RNA". It matches the Rfam family "Bacterial small subunit ribosomal RNA", at positions 524 to 776 of the family's 1533-position model. The record is from RNAcentral.
UACAGAGGUCUCAAGCGUUGUUCGGAUUCAUUGGGCGUAAAGGGUGCGUAGGCGGCGCGGUAAGUCGGGUGUGAAAUCUCGGAGCUUAACUCCGAAACUGCAUUCGAUACUGCCGUGCUUGAGGACUGGAGAGGAGACUGGAAUUUACGGUGUAGAGGUGAAAUUCGUAGAUAUCGGGAGGAACACCAGUGGCGAAGGCGGCGAUCUGGGAAGAUACUGACGCUGAGGUGCGAAAGCGUGGGGAGCAAACAGG